This 253-nucleotide ribosomal RNA is filed under the name uncultured bacterium. RNAcentral's name for it is "partial 16S ribosomal RNA". It matches the Rfam family "Bacterial small subunit ribosomal RNA", at positions 524 to 776 of the family's 1533-position model. The record is from RNAcentral.
UACGUAGGGGGCAAGCGUUGUCCGGAAUCAUUGGGCGUAAAGAGCGUGUAGGCGGCCCGGUAAGUCCGCUGUGAAAGUCCAGGGCUCAACCCUGGGAUGCCGGUGGAUACUGUCGGGCUCGAGUCCGGAAGAGGAGUGUGGAAUUCCUGGUGUAGCGGUGAAAUGCGCAGAUAUCAGGAGGAACACCGGUGGCGAAGGCGGCUCUCUGGACGGUGACUGACGCUGAGACGCGAAAGCGUGGGGAGCAAACAGG